RNAcentral lists this ribosomal RNA (207 nucleotides) under uncultured bacterium. RNAcentral's name for it is "partial 16S ribosomal RNA". It matches the Rfam family "Bacterial small subunit ribosomal RNA", at positions 568 to 774 of the family's 1533-position model. The record is from RNAcentral.
CGCGUAGGUGGUUUGUUAAGUUGGAUGUGAAAGCCCCGGGCUCAACCUGGGAACUGCAUCCAAAACUGGCAAGCUAGAGUACGGUAGAGGAUGGUGGAAUUUCCUGUGUAGCGGUGAAAUGCGUAGAUAUAGGAAGGAACACCAGUGGCGAAGGCGACCACCUGGACUGAUACUGACACUGAGGUGCGAAAGCGUGGGGAGCAAACA